GAGAGAUUAUAAAUCUUAAUAUGGAAUAAACAAAACCAUGCAUGGCUUGUAGCAUAGAUGAUAUAUGGGUAGGGUCUAAAAGCAAAGAAACUGCUACUGCUUCUUUUAAAGAUUCUUCUAGGACAUCCUUCACUCCUGCUCUCCCCUGAUCAUUAUCUUCUUUAGCAGAUGAAAACUAGCUACCAUGUUCUAUAGCUAAAGGAUUGUGUAUGGUACAGGAAACAACAUGGUGAAGAUGAU
This 240-nucleotide unclassified non-coding RNA is filed under the name Hevea brasiliensis (rubber tree). The record is from RNAcentral. Lineage: Eukaryota; Viridiplantae; Streptophyta; Magnoliopsida; Malpighiales; Euphorbiaceae.